UAUUCUUUUUUUUAUGUGUGUAAAUUAACAUUGUGGGAUAAUGUUUUGUAAGCACCAUUUGAUCAAUGUCUCGAAAAUGACGUUUUAUAUGUCUGACUAUCUGCAGAAUUGUUUCCUUCUAUGACGUUGAUAAAGUCUUAACCACAUUUUAUACAUCAGACCCUUUGGUAUUACUGUUGGAAAGAACAAUUACGGUAAGAGGAAAAGAAAAUGAAGGAGAGAGACGAGGAGGAAGAAAACGGUACGUCAAUAUUCAUAUUAAAACUUAAGAUACAAAAUGUGAUACAUAUGUUUAAUGAACUGUCAUUCAAAAGUUCAUAAUCUGAAGCAUAACAUAAUCAAUAGGUUUGGGAACCUCUGUACCAUAUGCAAGUUAUCCUGUAUCUCAGUUUUUGUAAAAUAUUUCAUGAAAUACCAUCAUCACAAACAUGUGAAAACUCAUGAUCUGCAGGUGAUAAAUUCCAAUGCAGCAAGAAGUGGGAUAUUCGUGUGCAAAGAGUUUGAAUUGUGAUGCAGGGUAGUGGAAUUCAUGCGCGCCUAGAAUCAACCAUCAAUAAGCUGUUGCUGUAUAUAUAAACAUUUGGCCUCACGGUGCAACAGUAAGUGUUGUGCCUAUUAAUACA
RNAcentral lists this long non-coding RNA (623 nucleotides) under Solanum tuberosum (potato). RNAcentral describes it as "long non-coding RNA (STUB_LNC000877)". The record is from RNAcentral. Lineage: Eukaryota; Viridiplantae; Streptophyta; Magnoliopsida; Solanales; Solanaceae.